RNAcentral lists this ribosomal RNA (465 nucleotides) under Vreelandella stevensii. RNAcentral describes it as "partial 16S ribosomal RNA". It matches the Rfam family "Bacterial small subunit ribosomal RNA", at positions 338 to 795 of the family's 1533-position model. The record is from RNAcentral. Lineage: Bacteria; Pseudomonadati; Pseudomonadota; Gammaproteobacteria; Oceanospirillales; Halomonadaceae.
CCUACGGGAGGCAGCAGUGGGGAAUAUUGGACAAUGGGCGAAAGCCUGAUCCAGCCAUGCCGCGUGUGUGAAGAAGGCCUUCGGGUUGUAAAGCACUUUCAGUGGGGAAGAAAUCCUUGGGGCUAAUACCCUCGAGGAAGGACAUCACCCACAGAAGAAGCACCGGCUAACUCCGUGCCAGCAGCCGCGGUAAUACGGAGGGUGCGAGCGUUAAUCGGAAUUACUGGGCGUAAAGCGCGCGUAGGCGGUCUGAUAAGCCGGUUGUGAAAGCCCCGGGCUCAACCUGGGAACGGCAUCCGGAACUGUCAGGCUAGAGUGCAGGAGAGGAAGGUAGAAUUCCCGGUGUAGCGGUGAAAUGCGUAGAGAUCGGGAGGAAUACCAGUGGCGAAGGCGGCCUUCUGGACUGACACUGACGCUGAGGUGCGAAAGCGUGGGGAGCAAACAGGAUUAGAUACCCCGGUAGUC